UACGUAGGGGGCGAGCGUUGUCCGGAAUUACUGGGCGUAAAGGGCGCGUAGGCGGUCCUUUAAGUCCGCGGUGAAAGCCCGGGGCUCAACCCCGGAGGGUCCGCGGAGACUGGAGGACUGGAGGGUCGGAGAGGAGUGCGGAAUUCCUGGUGUAGCGGUGGAAUGCGUAGAGAUCAGGAGGAACACCGAUGGCGAAGGCAGCACUCUGGCCGAAGUCCCGACGCUGAGGCGCGAAAGCUGGGGGAGCGAACGGG
This 254-nucleotide ribosomal RNA is filed under the name uncultured bacterium. RNAcentral's name for it is "partial 16S ribosomal RNA". It matches the Rfam family "Bacterial small subunit ribosomal RNA", at positions 524 to 776 of the family's 1533-position model. The record is from RNAcentral.